UUUUUUGGAAUUUAAAGAUCGUUUUAAUUUUUUAGAAAAUUUUGGAAGAGUUUUUAUUUUUUAAAAAGAAAAAUAAAAUUUAUUUUCAAUUUUAAUUUCAAAAUUAAUUUUAUAAAAAGUUUCUUAUUUUUCAAUUUUUUGGAAUUUUAAAGAUCUUUUUAAGUUUUUAGAGAAUAUUUUUAUAUUCAAUCAGUACCAAAUAAAAGUAAACAUGUUAGUAAGUAGAUUGAAAGUUUCACUAGCCCAGUGGUAAAUGACCUUGUCAUUUGAACCAAUCAACCCGAGUUAGAAUCCAGGGGUUUACAUGAUUAUUUUUUUCAAAUCAUGUAAAACGACGUCGUUUUCAAAUAAGAUGAAACGAUGUUGUUUCACUUAACACCAACAUUUAACGUAUGGUUAACACUGUGUUAACUGUGAGUUCACGGCGUGCUAAAUUGGCAAAUCAAUCUUAAGUUUAUUAAUAAACUAAAAAAGUCAAUAAAAGUAAAUGAUUUUUUUGGUCAGGCGUACAUGUUUUCUUUGGCAAUUCGUGAAAAGUUCGUGUUUUUUUUGGCCGAAUUCUCCACGCCCAACUGUAAAUGUUUGCCUAUAUUGAAAUGAUGUUAUAAAUUAAUAAAUGAUAGACAAUGUUAAAAAUGCAUUAUCUGAUGCUCUACAUAUAGUAAAUAUAAAUGAUGCGUACAAGUUGAAAUACUAAAGUCUUAAUCCUUAGGCCUUGAAAAGCUGUGUAUGUGUCAUUUUAUUUGUCUUUUAAUCCUUUGUUGCAAUAAUGAAGAUUUUUUUUCUUGCUUGUUAUGAACAGAAUGACAAAAGGACAUCAUUUAAUGUAAGAGAAAAAUGUGAUGCUGAUAUCUGGUUCAUGAGAUGCUUUUUCAUAGAAUCUCAACCUACAUCAGAAGAAAACUCAACUGCUUAUUGUUAAUUAUGUAUAUUAUAUUGUGAGCUCGGGUGGGACUGUCGAGAUAUUUGCAGAGGUAAGAAGUUUAACAAAUCCAAUUAACUUAAUGUAUAUAUAUAUCAAAGUGAAGACAUUUGAAGUUGAAAUAUUGAUAUCUUCUAUAUUUCAAUAUAGUUUUUAGCGUAUUAAUCAAUUUUUGUUUGUUAAACAAAUUUGUUUGUUUUGUUGAAAACAUUAAUAAAUUAUUUUUGUAUCAUAGUUUUCAUUUGAAUACAUGUUGCAGUGGAGGGGGGUGGGGGAAAGAUGAACUACAACAAGAGAAGAUGGUACACCUCGCUACUGAAAGACGCUUAGAGGGAUUAGAUACUCGUUCCUUUCUCUCUUCGAGCCCUCAGAAAGAACAACAAGCUCAUGCAUUCAAAUUCACAUUCUAAUUAUCCACUCAAACAUGCAGCUCCUCCAACCGGGGGUCUGACCAAACAUCAACGUGAUGGCAUGAACCGAGGACUAACCAACGUACGCAUUGAGGUUUAGCGGGAGAAACGGCUCAUCCAAGAACACGUAAAUGUAGCAGGCAAUUAUAUCGAUCCCUUAACGUAUUAUCUAUACUAUAUUAAAAGGGAUAUAUGAGCUCCAUUGAGCCUAUCCACCUCAGCAUGGAAAAUCAUCCAAUGGGAUGGGUUCUUUUUGCCACGUCAUUCGUUCAUUCACACAAAAUACGGACCUCUCCGUUUCGUCUUCCUCCCAUUACACCACUUCCGAUUCUCCUUCGCCUCCACAUCUAAGUCUCAUAAAAUUCAUGUGCUUAUCAUAACCCAAACGACAUGAAUCUGUUCCGAUGGAAUAAACCCUCUAUUGGUUUGUUAUGGCUAACUCGAGAAGGAGGGGAAAGCGGCGUGGAUGGAGACGGCGGCGGCGGUUACGUCGGAGUCAGAGAAAUUGAGAUUGGUUUUGACGCCGGAGCAAACCGUGUCCCAGAGAUCCGGAGUGAGGCGUGUGGAUCUGAUGAGGUCGAAGGCUAGCUUCUUGCAAACGGCUGACGCCGGAGAUGCGACGAUCUCCUCCACUGCGGAAUUGGCGAUCACCGAAAAGUCCCGUCCGGUGGCAGAUUGUUAGAGAGCGGAUGAUUGGCUAAGGGCGUCAUUCGAUCGGAGAUCGGCCUGUAUCGGCCUGGAACGGAGGUUUGCCUCAAUCAAGUUUGUGGUUUCAAAGAAACCUGAUGGUCUAUAUCCUGUUGUUAGUGGAACAGGUAAUGUCGCUAAGGUAAAUAUGUUAUGUAUUCGCACUAUCUAUUGUCAAUAUUUUCACUCGCUAAAGGUCGACGAAAAUAUAUAUUCCUGCUCAGGUGACAAGAGACAGAGCAUAAAGAGUAUAUGGUAAAGAAAAACUGGAGAAAACAUAAACAUAUACACUUUGGUUCUGGAUAUUCUAGAGGUAUAUUAUGUUUAUUGCUCAAAUAUUUAUCUUUUAGUAACCAUUAAUACAGUAAUAUGUUUGUCAUAAAAAUGUAGAUCCUGAGACAAAUCAUGGUUAGAAAAUAAAAGUUAAUGAAUACAUAUCCACUGUGAGGAAUAAAUAUAGGAGAGGUGUUGCUGCACAGUAGGAGAGUUUUCUCUGGUGUUACGUCCUAGCGGAAGCAAGGCACCUUGCUUUGAUUUGGGCCAUUGAGAGCAUGGCAUCUCACAGGCUGAAUAAAGUAAUUUUUGAAACUGAAGAUGCAGAUUUGGUGGGUGCAGUGAAAAGACCGAGGGCGUGGCCAUCUUAUCGUGCGUAUGCUAUGGAGAUAAAAACUGCGCUGAGUAAUAUGCAUGAGUGGGAAUUGGAGGUCGUAUCAAGGAAAUCGAAUAUGAUCACCUUUUUGAUCGCAAGAAGUUUCACCAUGGAUAUGAGGUUGCAGUCGUAUGUUGCAAGGGGAGAGGUUGCUUGGCUGAGGGGUUUGUUUGCAGAAGAACGACUAACUUGCUAAAGGUAUUGAUAUGAGGAAAGGGGAUUAUGUUGGUGGGGUGAUGUCUAUGUUUUGUGGUGGGAAGACGUGAAUGAGUCUCAGGCUCUGUUCUUUUUGGGUGCUGUUUUAAUUUUUGGAUUGCUCUCAUGAGACUUUGGUUAUUGUUUAUCAUCAAAUAUACGUAUUUUCAUAGGAAAAAAAUCACAGAUUCACAAUCAUCAAUCUCAUAAUAUAUAGAAAUUUAAAACCAAUUUGAAUUAGAUAACAUAUCGUAAAAACUAAUUCAAAAAA
Molecule: long non-coding RNA, 3134 nt
Organism: Brassica rapa (field mustard)
Lineage: Eukaryota; Viridiplantae; Streptophyta; Magnoliopsida; Brassicales; Brassicaceae
Source: RefSeq, a predicted model, not a curated record